GCCAGGUGUGGUGGCUCACGCCUGUAAUCCCAGCACUUUGGGAGGCUGAGGCGGGUGGAUCACUUGAGGUCAGGAGUUCGAGACCAGCCUGGCCAACAUGGUGAAACCCCGUCUCUA
Molecule: non-coding RNA, 117 nt
Filed under: Homo sapiens (human)
Lineage: Eukaryota; Metazoa; Chordata; Mammalia; Primates; Hominidae
Source: Rfam by way of RNAcentral